GACGAACGCUGGCGGCGUGCCUAAUACAUGCAAGUCGAACGCAUUUUCUUUCACCGUAGCUUGCUACACCGAAAGAAAAUGAGUGGCGAACGGGUGAGUAACACGUGGGUAACCUGCCCAUCAGCGGGGGAUAACACUUGGAAACAGGUGCUAAUACCGCAUAAUUCCAUUUACCGCAUGGUAGAUGGAUGAAAGGCGCUUUUGCGUCACUGAUGGAUGGACCCGCGGUGCAUUAGCUAGUUGGUGGGGUAACGGCCUACCAAGGCUGCGAUGCAUAGCCGGCCUGAGAGGGUGAUCGGCCACACUGGGACUGAGACACGGCCCAGACUCCUACGGGAGGCAGCAGUAGGGAAUCUUCGGCAAUGGACGCAAGUCUGACCGAGCAACGCCGCGUGAGUGAAGAAGGUUUUCGGAUCGUAAAACUCUGUUGUUAGAGAAGAACAAGGAUGAGAGUGGAAAGUUCAUCCCUUGACGGUAUCUAACCAGAAAGCCACGGCUAACUACGUG
Molecule: ribosomal RNA, 507 nt
Filed under: uncultured bacterium
Lineage: Bacteria
Description: partial 16S ribosomal RNA
Rfam family: Bacterial small subunit ribosomal RNA
Source: RNAcentral